This 406-nucleotide ribosomal RNA is filed under the name uncultured bacterium. RNAcentral describes it as "partial 16S ribosomal RNA". It matches the Rfam family "Bacterial small subunit ribosomal RNA", at positions 30 to 526 of the family's 1533-position model. The record is from RNAcentral.
AUUGAACGCUGGCGGCAGGCCUAAUACAUGCAAGUCGAACGAGUGGCGGACGGGUGAGUAAUGUCUGGGAAACUGCCCGAUGGAGGGGGGUAACUACUGGAAACGGUAGCUAAUACCGCAUACCAUCGGAUGUGCCCAGUUGGGAUUAGCUUGUGGGGGAGGUAACGGCUCACCUAGGCGACGAACCCUAGCUGGUCUGAGGGGCUUACCAGCCACACUGGAACUGGGACACGGUCCGGACUCCAACGGGAGGCAGCGGUGGGCAUAAUCGCACAAUGGGCGCAAGCCUGAUGCAGCCAUGCCGCGUGGAUAAAGAAGGCCGUCGAGUUGUAAAGUACUUUCAGCGUGGAGGCGUUACCCGCAGAAGAAGCACCGGCUAACUCCGUGCCAGCAGCCGCGGUAAUUC